GUGUUUUUAUCGGCAUUCGUUGUAUAGGGUCUGUAAGUCUCGUUUGGUUUCACUUUCGGUUUUACUACUUCCGGGUACAACAACAUGUGAAAUAUAUAAAGUCGUAACAGAAAAUCGGCGCUAGUAUGUAAUUUGGUGUAUUGUUAAGUGAUCGGCUGCACACACGAGACUGGGAAAACCCUGCCAUGUAGUUUAUUUAGGUUCCUAGUCGAUGCUACAGUAAGGAAGCGGUGGAUACAAAGAUGUAGACACAAAGUUACGAAACCUGCUGAAGCAGAAGCAUUUGCUUGAAACGUACAUGUAGGAACCGAAGUUGAUACUGCUACCAAUAUAUCUGUACCAGACAACAAUGAAGUGGAUCUACAUGAUCACGAGCACACAACAUCAAACCCUCAAGAUUUAAAAAGCUUUCCUUGAAGACUAUGAUGUUGUAAACUUGCAGUGAGAAAUAUACCUGCUUAAUUAAAAGAAACCAUCCUUGACAAUUGGGAACAUCAUAAUUGAAAGACCCUGGAAAGGGAUCAUGAACACUGUUGGAAGUGUCCAUUCAACUGAAAUAUAAAAGUCAGAAGAAUUGAAGAUUGCAAUGGAUGCAACAGAAGUGACCUAAUAUGACCAAAUUGAUAUGAAUAGCCAGUUUUUCGCUUGCAGUAAUGACAAGAGUCGCCACAAAGAAAAGACCUUAAUGUGUAUUACACCUAAUGCAGCUUAUUUCCAAUCUGUAUGCUGGAUACAAAUCUAAUUUGGCAAUUGUGAACCAUUGUGGCAUUUUAGAGAAGUUGCAAGUUGGUGAUAUAUUCCUGGCGGACAAAGGAUUUUGUAUAUUUGACAAACUUCCAAAUGACAGGACACUUAAUAUCCCAUUCUUUCUUACAAAUAAAUCCCACUUCUCAAAAGAGGAUGCACAACUUUGCUAUAAAAUUUCCAGAUGCAGAAUCCAUGUUGGAUGGGAAAAUGAGAGAAUAUUUUUUUUUUUAAAAUUCCUUAGCCAUAUUCUAUCAUAGUAUAGAUAUUGAUCUGACAAAAUAUUUCAGAUUUGUGUGGAUCAUGUGAAUUUGCAGGUUCCCCUUUUGAAGGAGAUUGCAGAUAAAUCCUACAAACUUAUUAGAUUAAUUGCAUGUAUAUAUAUAUAUAUAUAUAUAUAUAUAUAUAUAUAUAUAUAUAUACCUUAAAUCUGCACAUACCUGCCACAUUGAAUUUUUAAACUUAAUAGUAAUGAAUACCAUAUAUGCGAUAUAACUUUUCUACAUAUUUAUAUAGAUAUAAAGCCUUUUAUAUUCAUAUGAAUAUAAAGCCCUUUGGAACGUCUCCAUCAGAAUGAAAUAUUCUCGAAAGGAACGUUAAACAAUAUACAAUGAAACAUAAAGCCUUUUGUUCUCAUUCUGAAGGUUUUCAAAUCUGCAUUUUUUUUAAAAAGAAGUAAAAUCCAUUGUUUUAGUAAAUGCAUGUAAUUGAAUGAUUUUUGUAAAGCUGGACACUGUGUCUAUACAUACAUGUAUUUUGGUUCAUCUAAAAUAAGAAAAACUCUGUCUAUAAUGUUUAUUCAAUAAAUAUACAUGUAAUUACAUAA
This is an RNA transcript of Ostrea edulis (European flat oyster), 1570 nucleotides long. RefSeq lists it as uncharacterized. The record is from RefSeq and is a predicted model, not a curated record. NCBI's taxonomy places the organism in Eukaryota, Metazoa, Mollusca, Bivalvia, Ostreida, Ostreidae. The transcript has 4 exons.